GAUGAACGCUGGCGGCGUGCCUAAUACAUGCAAGUCGAACGCUUCACUUCGGUGAAGAGUGGCGAACGGGUGAGUAAUACAUAAGUAACCUGGCAUCUACAGGGGGAUAACUGAUGGAAACGUCAGCUAAGACCGCAUAUGUGUAGAGAUCGCAUGAACUCUAUAUGAAAAGUGCUACGGGACUGGUAGAUGAUGGACUUAUGGCGCAUUAGCUGGUUGGUAGGGUAACGGCCUACCAAGGCGACGAUGCGUAGCCGACCUGAGAGGGUGACCGGCCACACUGGGACUGAGACACGGCCCAGACUCCUACGGGAGGCAGCAGUAGGGAAUUUUCGGCAAUGGGGGGAACCCUGACCGAGCAACGCCGCGUGAAGGAAGAAGUAACUCGUUAUGUAAACUUCUGUCAUAGAGGAAGAACGGUGGAUAUAGGGAAUGAUAUCCAAGUGACGGUACUCUAUAAGAAAGCCACGGCUAACUACGUGCCAGCAGCCG
Molecule: ribosomal RNA, 492 nt
Filed under: uncultured bacterium
Lineage: Bacteria
Description: bacterial SSU rRNA
Rfam family: Bacterial small subunit ribosomal RNA
Source: RNAcentral